Molecule: ribosomal RNA, 253 nt
Filed under: uncultured bacterium
Lineage: Bacteria
Description: partial 16S ribosomal RNA
Rfam family: Bacterial small subunit ribosomal RNA
Source: RNAcentral
UACGUAGGGUGCGAGCGUUAAUCGGAAUUACUGGGCGUAAAGGGUGCGCAGGCGGCUCCGCAAGUCAGACGUGAAAUCCCCGGGCUUAACUUGGGAAUGGCAUUUGAAACUACGAAGCUGGAGUGUGGCAGAGGGAGGUGGAAUUCCACGUGUAGCGGUGAAAUGCGUAGAUAUGUGGAGGAACACCGAUGGCGAAGGCAGCCUCCUGGGCCAACACUGACGCUCAUGCACGAAAGUGUGGGGGGCAAACAGG